This 468-nucleotide ribosomal RNA is filed under the name uncultured bacterium. RNAcentral describes it as "partial 16S ribosomal RNA". It matches the Rfam family "Bacterial small subunit ribosomal RNA", at positions 28 to 507 of the family's 1533-position model. The record is from RNAcentral.
GACGAACGCUGGCGGCGUGCUUAACACAUGCAAGUCAAACGGAAAGGCCCUGCUUUUGUGGGUUUCUCGAGUGGCGAACGUGUGAGUAACACGUGAGUAACCUGCCCUUGACUUUGGGAUAACUUCAGGAAACUGGGGCUAAUACCGGAUAGGAUCUCCUGCUGCAUUGUGGGGUUUGGAUAGUUUCGGCGGUUGGGGAUGGACUCGCGGCUUAUCAGCUUGUUGGUGGGGUAGUGGCUUACCAAGGCUUUGACGGGUAGCCGGCCUGAGAGGGUGACCGGGAACAUUGGGACUGAGAGACGGCACAGAAUGGAACGGGAGGCAGCAGUGGGGAAUAUAGCAAAAUGGGAGGAAGCAUGAUGCAGAAACGCAGCGAGCGGGAUGAAGGCCUUCGGGUUGUAAACAGAUUUAGCAUGUGACGAAGCGUGAGUGACGGUAAUGGGUAAAGAAGCACCGGCUAACUACGUG